This 222-nucleotide long non-coding RNA is filed under the name Nicotiana benthamiana. RNAcentral's name for it is "long non-coding RNA (NBEN_LNC021352)". Lineage: Eukaryota; Viridiplantae; Streptophyta; Magnoliopsida; Solanales; Solanaceae. The record is from RNAcentral.
CCCAUAUGCCCAAAUAGUUCACAACAGGAUAACCAAUUCACACAAGUCAGUUAAAAGCUCAAUUCAAAAUAAUGUAUGAUUCAAAUCACAACUAUUGAACUAAUGCUCAAACAAAUUAACACUUCAAACCAGUUGGACUACGGAAUUAAAACAAACGGGACUAAGACCUCUUUCUUACGAUCAUUGGAAACGGUUUCAUGAUUUGCAUUCACUCAGCACACA